RNAcentral lists this ribosomal RNA (674 nucleotides) under uncultured bacterium. RNAcentral's name for it is "bacterial SSU rRNA". It matches the Rfam family "Bacterial small subunit ribosomal RNA", at positions 819 to 1504 of the family's 1533-position model. The record is from RNAcentral.
GACGUUGGAAAUUUAUUUUCAGUGUCGCAGGGAAACCGAUAAACACACCGCCUGGGGAGUACGACCGCAAGGUUAAAACUCAAAUGAAUUGACGGGGACCCGCACAAGUAGUGGAGCAUGUGGUUUAAUUCGAAGAUACACGCAGAACCUUACCAACACUUGACAUGUUCGUCGCGACUCUAAGAGAUUAGAGUUUUCGGUUCGGCCGGACGAAACACAGGUGCUGCAUGGCUGUCGUCAGCUCGUGUCGUGAGAUGUUGGGUUAAGUCCCGCAACGAGCGCAACCCUCACUUUUAGUUGCCAUCAUUAAGUUGGGCACUCUGAAAGAACUGCCAGUGAUAAGCUGGAGGAAGGUGGGGAUGACGCCAAGUCCUCAUGGCCCUUACGUGUUGGGCUACACACGUGCUACAAUGGUAUCUACAACAGGAAGCAAAACUGCGAAGUUAAGCAAAUCCCUAAAAGAUACCUCAGUUCGGAUUGCACUCUGCAACUCGAGUGCAUGAAGCUGGAAUUACUAGUAAUCGUGGAUCAGCGUGCCACGGUGAAUGCGUUCCCGGGUCUUGUACACACCGCCCGUCACACCAUGGGAGUUGGUUCUACCUUAAGGCAAGGUUUAAAACCCUUGACCACGGUAUAGUCAGCGACUGGGGUGAAGUCGUAACAAGGUAGCCGUA